CAAAAAAACAACCAACUCAGUGAAAAAGAACUAGAUAGACAAACUGCUGGAAGAAAAUAAUUCAUCUGACAGCAAAGAUGCAGUGGAGUCUGAUUCUGCUCUUCCUGAUGGGUCAGUGUUGCUUCAUGGACUGUCAGCUCUAUCAGUUUCACUACAUUAAUGAGAAUAAGACCUGGACUGAAGCUCAGCAGUACUGCAGAGAGAAACACACUGACCUGGUCACAGUGACUAACAUGAAGGACAUGAAGAGACUCAUCAACAUCUCAACUGGAGAAAUGAAGGAAGCUUGGAUUGGUCUGUAUGAUCAAACACAUGGUACCAGAACUUGGUACUGGUCUCUGAUUGGAGUGAAGUUCAAUGAAAGUGAGACAAAGUGGAACGAUAACGAACCAUCUGAUAGAGGAAUUCAAGGUUCUGAAAACUGUGGGGCUGUGCAUCAAAAUCUCACAUGGCGAGAUCAGGGCUGCAAGUGGCCUGAAUAUUUCCUCUGCUAUG
This is a long non-coding RNA of Poecilia latipinna (sailfin molly), 495 nucleotides long. RefSeq lists it as uncharacterized. The record is from RefSeq and is a predicted model, not a curated record. The transcript is spliced from 3 exons. NCBI's taxonomy places the organism in Eukaryota, Metazoa, Chordata, Actinopteri, Cyprinodontiformes, Poeciliidae.